GAGUUUGAUCGUGGCUCAGAUUGAACGCUGGCGGCAGGCCUAACACAUGCAAGUCGAGCGUGAAAGGGCUUCGGCCUGAGUAAAGCGGCGGACGGGUGAGUAACGCGUAGGAAUCUACCUAGUAGUGGGGGAUAACGUUCCGAAAGGAACGCUAAUACCGCAUACGUUCUGAGGAAGAAAGCAGGGGAUCGCAAGACCUUGCGCUAUUAGAUGAGCCUGCGUCCGAUUAGCUAGUUGGUGGGGUAAAGGCCUACCAAGGCGACGAUCGGUAACUGGUCUGAGAGGAUGAUCAGUCACACUGGAACUGAGACACGGUCCAGACUCCUACGGGAGGCAGCAGUGGGGAAUAUUGGACAAUGGGGGCAACCCUGAUCCAGCCAUGCCGCGUGUGUGAAGAAGGCCU
RNAcentral lists this ribosomal RNA (403 nucleotides) under uncultured Gammaproteobacteria bacterium. RNAcentral's name for it is "bacterial SSU rRNA". It matches the Rfam family "Bacterial small subunit ribosomal RNA", at positions 9 to 417 of the family's 1533-position model. The record is from RNAcentral. Lineage: Bacteria; Pseudomonadati; Pseudomonadota; Gammaproteobacteria.